This 899-nucleotide ribosomal RNA is filed under the name Shigella sonnei. RNAcentral describes it as "partial 23S ribosomal RNA". It matches the Rfam family "Bacterial large subunit ribosomal RNA", at positions 474 to 1372 of the family's 2925-position model. The record is from RNAcentral. Lineage: Bacteria; Pseudomonadati; Pseudomonadota; Gammaproteobacteria; Enterobacterales; Enterobacteriaceae.
UCCUGACUGACCGAUAGUGAACCAGUACCGUGAGGGAAAGGCGAAAAGAACCCCGGCGAGGGGAGUGAAAAAGAACCUGAAACCGUGUACGUACAAGCAGUGGGAGCACGCUUAGGCGUGUGACUGCGUACCUUUUGUAUAAUGGGUCAGCGACUUAUAUUCUGUAGCAAGGUUAACCGAAUAGGGGAGCCGAAGGGAAACCGAGUCUUAACUGGGCGUUAAGUUGCAGGGUAUAGACCCGAAACCCGGUGAUCUAGCCAUGGGCAGGUUGAAGGUUGGGUAACACUAACUGGAGGACCGAACCGACUAAUGUUGAAAAAUUAGCGGAUGACUUGUGGCUGGGGGUGAAAGGCCAAUCAAACCGGGAGAUAGCUGGUUCUCCCCGAAAGCUAUUUAGGUAGCGCCUCGUGAAUUCAUCUCCGGGGGUAGAGCACUGUUUCGGCAAGGGGGUCAUCCCGACUUACCAACCCGAUGCAAACUGCGAAUACCGGAGAAUGUUAUCACGGGAGACACACGGCGGGUGCUAACGUCCGUCGUGAAGAGGGAAACAACCCAGACCGCCAGCUAAGGUCCCAAAGUCAUGGUUAAGUGGGAAACGAUGUGGGAAGGCCCAGACAGCCAGGAUGUUGGCUUAGAAGCAGCCAUCAUUUAAAGAAAGCGUAAUAGCUCACUGGUCGAGUCGGCCUGCGCGGAAGAUGUAACGGGGCUAAACCAUGCACCGAAGCUGCGGCAGCGACGCUUAUGCGUUGUUGGGUAGGGGAGCGUUCUGUAAGCCUGCGAAGGUGUGCUGUGAGGCAUGCUGGAGGUAUCAGAAGUGCGAAUGCUGACAUAAGUAACGAUAAAGCGGGUGAAAAGCCCGCUCGCCGGAAGACCAAGGGUUCCUGUCCAACGUUAAUCGG